GACGAAGCCGUGCGAACGUUAUUCGGAAUCACUGGGCUUAAAGCGGCGUGUAGGCGGGAUGGCACGUCGGUCGCUGAAAGCCCCCGGCUCAACCGGGGAAGUGGCGCCGAUACGACCACCCUGGAGGGACGUAGGGGGACCGUGGAACUUCCGGUGGAGCGGUGAAAUGCGUUGAGAUCGGAAGGAACGCCCGUGGCCGAAAGCGAGGUCCUGGACGUUUUCUGACGCUGAGACGCGAAAGCCAGGGGAGACGAACGGG
This 259-nucleotide ribosomal RNA is filed under the name uncultured bacterium. RNAcentral's name for it is "partial 16S ribosomal RNA". It matches the Rfam family "Bacterial small subunit ribosomal RNA", at positions 524 to 776 of the family's 1533-position model. The record is from RNAcentral.